GUUGGCCUCAAACUUAAGUCCAAGUAAGUGGUUUUAGUAAUGCAAAUUAUAAAUGAUAUAACAAUUGAGAAGCCGCAAAACAGGCGUACUUGAAAUUUUUCAAUAUGAAGGAGUUGCCAAUGACAAUUCAUUUGCCUACACGAUUUCAUCCCAAUAUUGAACAUGUGAAACAGGACGAUGCUUGUCCUAGUAGAUGUAGCAAUAUAAUUAGAGAUCU
Long non-coding RNA from Rhodamnia argentea, 217 nucleotides. RefSeq lists it as uncharacterized. Lineage: Eukaryota; Viridiplantae; Streptophyta; Magnoliopsida; Myrtales; Myrtaceae. The record is from RefSeq and is a predicted model, not a curated record. The transcript is spliced from 2 exons.